Capsicum annuum is the source of this 280-nucleotide long non-coding RNA. RefSeq lists it as uncharacterized. The transcript is spliced from 2 exons. Lineage: Eukaryota; Viridiplantae; Streptophyta; Magnoliopsida; Solanales; Solanaceae. The record is from RefSeq and is a predicted model, not a curated record.
UCACAUUUUUACACCCUUUUCUUCUAUUUGAAAAAUUUGUUGUGGUUUAGUAUCCAAGGGUGUGACCUCGUGGUCGAUAAAGGGGUUUAAAUCCUAGCAGAGACGAAACUACUAGUGAUUUUUUCUCAUCUGACAUAGUUUUGGUGGACAGAGUUAUCUGGUAUGUUUGGUACGUGUUGCUGGUGGGAGGUGAUAGGUAUGCCGUGGAAUUAGUAAGAGGUGGGAGGUAUGCCGUGGAAUUAGUAAGAGGUGGGAGGAAGGUGGCUCGGACACCACAGUA